This 762-nucleotide small RNA is filed under the name Pongo abelii (Sumatran orangutan). Its description in RNAcentral is "retained intron". Lineage: Eukaryota; Metazoa; Chordata; Mammalia; Primates; Hominidae. The record is from RNAcentral.
AGUCGGCGGCCGGACUGGGAAGAUGGACGCAGCUACUCUGACCUACGACACUCUCCGGUUUGCCGAGUUUGAAGAUUUUCCUGAGACCUCAGAGCCCGUUUGGAUACUGGGUAGAAAAUACAGCAUUUUCACAGAAAAGGACGAGAUCUUGUCUGAUGUGGCAUCUAGACUUUGGUUUACAUACAGGAAAAACUUUCCAGCCAUUGGGGGGACAGGCCCCACCUCGGACACAGGCUGGGGCUGCAUGCUGCGGUGUGGACAGAUGAUCUUUGCCCAAGCCCUGGUGUGCCGGCACCUAGGCCGAGAUUGGAGGUGGACACAAAGGAAGAGGCAGCCAGACAGCUACUUCAGCGUCCUCAACGCAUUCAUCGACAGGAAGGACAGUUACUACUCCAUUCACCAGAUAGGUGGGAGGCUGCAGAUUGUGCCAGGCCCCACCCGGGCUGUUUGGAGAGGGUGGAGUGGUCGGUUUCCCCUAAGAGCUUUUCUGGUGUUGUGGGAUAUGGAGCAGGAGGCUGUAAACCUGUAAACACUGACCUCUGACCGCCUGUGUGCUGCUGUCACAUCACCCCCGUGUCAUCCCCCAUCACCCCCGUCCCACCCAGGCCCAGACCCUGGGCCUUGCCCUUCCUGCUGUCCAUGGGGCUUGCAGUGCCUGGUGCCCAGCACAGUCUGGGGAAAUUGGCCUCGCCCCAUCAGUGAAUCUGAAUGCUCAGAUUGAAGUGGAGUGAGUAAAGAGGAGCUGGCCUUUCUUGCAAGCAA